Molecule: long non-coding RNA, 445 nt
Filed under: Homo sapiens (human)
Lineage: Eukaryota; Metazoa; Chordata; Mammalia; Primates; Hominidae
Description: HSALNT0399000
Source: RNAcentral
AUCGGGCGGCUAGGCUCUCUGAGGAGGCUGCCACAGUGAAGCAACCGUGACAAGUGGUGCCCGACCAGGGACCUGAACGAGGAAGGUCUGCCAGAGCAGAGAAAGUGAAACUGAUCAGACGAACUACGAACCCCUGGACGGGAGAGUCUGCCGGCGGAGAAUAUAAGGAGAUGGACAAACCGUGUGGGUGCCCUCCAGGUGUGUGUGACCAUGGAACGGGAGACCGGAGGGAUCCAUGGUAUUCAACCGUGGGCCUGUUACCUCCAGUACGAGCCAUGAGCCAGCGGAAUCUGAAUGCAAAGACAGAACAAGGGCCGACCGGAGUCACAAUGACAUCCAACCCCAUAACAUGGGGACAGAUCAAGAAAACGACACAAGAAGCUGAGAAACUACUGGAGCGCCAGGUCUAUAGGAUCGGGUGAACCACCAACCGGCAAUUGAAAGC